AUUGCUUCUCAGUCUUUUGGCUAAGAUCAAGUGUAGUCUCUGUUCUUAUCAGCUUAUAUCUGAUAUGGACAUUAAAUGGAUUUUUGGAAAUAGGAGAUGGAAUAGGAGCUUGCUGUCUUCUCCAUGCAAAUCAAACUGGUGUUACAGUAUCUCCAGGAAACGGUGCUGUGACA
RNAcentral lists this small nuclear RNA (173 nucleotides) under Sciurus vulgaris (Eurasian red squirrel). RNAcentral describes it as "U2 spliceosomal RNA (ENSSVLG00005006054.1)". It matches the Rfam family "U2 spliceosomal RNA". From Rfam's summary of the family: U2 is a small nuclear RNA (snRNA) component of the spliceosome (involved in pre-mRNA splicing). Complementary binding between U2 snRNA (in an area lying towards the 5' end but 3' to hairpin I) and the branchpoint sequence (BPS) of the intron results the bulging out of an unpaired adenosine, on the BPS, which initiates a nucleophilic attack at the intronic 5' splice site, thus starting the first of two transesterification reactions that mediate splicing. Lineage: Eukaryota; Metazoa; Chordata; Mammalia; Rodentia; Sciuridae. The record is from Rfam by way of RNAcentral.